AGCUGAUCACCAUCCGCGUGAGGGAUGACGGCCUUAGGGCUGUAAACCUCUUUUCUCACAAGAGAAAUUCUGACGUGCACGUGAGGAAUUGACAGCUACCUAACUCCGUGCCACCGGCCGCCUCCAUGCCGGGGAUGCCAGCGUUACCCAGGAUCCUUGCGCGUACCGCACCUGUUGGGUGUUUAAGGUCUCUGUGGUGAAAGACUAGGGCUAAGCCCUAUCAAAGCACUGGACACUACUACUCCCUUUUAUGCUGGGGGUCUAGGGUAUUUCUGGUGUAGCUGUAAUAUGCAUAGAUACUGUGAAGAGCACCGGUGGCAAACGCACUCCACUGUGCCAUUGCUGACUCUCAGAGGCAAACGCUCGGGUAGCAAAAGGGAUUAGAUACCCCGUGUAGUCCUAGCCUAUCAC
Molecule: ribosomal RNA, 411 nt
Filed under: uncultured cyanobacterium
Lineage: Bacteria; Bacillati; Cyanobacteriota
Description: bacterial SSU rRNA
Rfam family: Bacterial small subunit ribosomal RNA
Source: RNAcentral